Molecule: long non-coding RNA, 4790 nt
Organism: Cynoglossus semilaevis (tongue sole)
Lineage: Eukaryota; Metazoa; Chordata; Actinopteri; Pleuronectiformes; Cynoglossidae
Exons: 3
Source: RefSeq, a predicted model, not a curated record
AAUCAAUGGGAUCUAAUUUCCCUCUGAACAAAACUAUUUUAAGCACAGAUGACUGUGUCUUCUUGAUAGAUGGAAAAUACAGUUCUAAACUCACAGACCUCUGUCACAACACUUCCUGUAGGUACCAUCCACAGGAAGUCUGGCAUCUGCUAUUGGUGCAAUAAUUAAGUUUUGGACAGAAAAGACAGGCGCCAAAGCAGAGUUCAUGGCAAAGGACAGGAUAUUAUGAUAAAGGUUCAAACAAGGGCACAGUGGGAUUUUCACAGCCAGUUGAAAACAAUGGAUAAAAGUGGAAUGAUGUGACAAACACUGCACCUAAUAUGUAUCACCUUCUCAACAGAGGCACUAAGACUGACAAUAUACCUCGGGAAGUUGCACUAAACUGAACCAAUCUUUGCAAAUGUGCUCAAUAGUCAGUUAAAAGAUUAAAGCCUCUUGUCUAAAUCCACAUAUAGACUUAUUUAUCUUUGACCACUGGAGACACUUUUUAUGGUCUAUGGGUUUUGACUCCCUGAACAGUUUACCAGUCCAUCUCAGAGCCACAAACAACAAUCCACAUCUACAUUCUUACCUAUGGUUAGCUCAGAGUGUCCUGUUAAUCUUGCAGAUUUUUGCACUGUGAGAGGAAAUCAACUGCCAAACACCAAACAGGAGGAACACGCACACUCCAUUCAUUCUAUAAGAGCUCUAACUACUCAAUCACAAUGUGACAACCAUGUGAAGUAAAAAUUAAUACGAUAUGCUUUUACCUGUCACGGUCAACAUUUUAACAAACAACAGUGACGGACACUUCUUAUGUCACUGUAAUGACGUUGAGUUUAAAUUCUAAUCCCGACCUCUUUAAAAGAUUUGUCAAAGAAAGAAAAAUGCUUAGCUGGUUGGCUCUCCAUGACUUUAUUUGUCUUCUCUGAUUACUUGGUUUGAAUGAAUACUAAUCUUAGCAAACUCCCAGGCAGUUGAAUAGGAAAAGGCCAAUGAUAUCAAUACUUGAUCUGGUUAGAUCUGGUCAGCACAAGUACUACUUGAAGUGUGACUGUUUGGUUGUCCGACCUGUUUUUGCCACUUCACAGUGCUAAUUAGCCAAUUAAAUAAAUACAUACUGUAGUAUGUCAAUGAGUUAAAUUUAGCAUGUAAACAAAGCAACAGUUUAAAUCAUUAAAGGUUCCAGCCUUUUGUCAACAAGUCUCCCAAUAAACAUGUAACACAUGUAAUAAUAAACUCAAAUGACUUUGACACUGCUGGAAUAUACACACUCCCGGUGUUGCAGCCUCUGACGGAAGGCCGGCUCGAGGACCUGAAGAUAAAGUGGAACAAGGAAAAUGUCUGUUUGAAUGCUGGGUGUCUGUCAAAGCAGGAACUGGGAGGCGUUUUCAGUUGACCUUUGGGGGCAAGGACUUCCCAAAGCCCCUCUGCAAAACAACAGCCGAUUCCGCAGCUGACACUGGGACACAGGCUCCUCCUGCUCCUCCUUCUGCACUGACUUCUUCCUCUAUUUUUCCUUUCUAUGCACCUUUACGUACAAGGACAAGCAGCAGCGGCAGCAGCGGCUGUAGUUAUCACCUAACAGAUAGGAUCUGUCAGGAAUGUGGUGUUGCUCGACUGUAUGUGAACAAACACGUUGUCGUGAUGUCAACAAACCGUGGACAAACGGGUUAAAGUGAACGGUAGCUGAUCCCGCGCUGUGAACAGGAUUCAGACUGUUUACAGUGUGACUUGCUGCCUGUAUGAUUCAUGGAGAGCAAGCAAAGUACAAUUAAUGACUCACUAAGAUGACGUGAAGCAUAAAUAAACAUAAAAAGUUACACAAAGGUAAUAAUCUCCUCCUUAACUAAGCCGUCUUAGAACCUUAUUUUCAGGUUUUCAAAAAGAUCAAACAGACAAACUAGUUCAAUGCUGACUUAUAUUAGCGAUAUAUUCAUGGACUAAUGUUGGGCUACUUUUCCGUAUUUGAUUCAGGAAGUCACCUUGGUCAAUUUUAAGCAACAUGUGAGGAUUGGGAUUAAUCUAAUUUAAAUUAAUUUAGCCAUAAUUGUGAAGUUUUGAUAUUUUUCUUUUGUGGAUUAUUAGCCAUAUUUAGAGAUUACUAUUUAGUAAAACCUUUUGUAAAUUUUCUGCAACUUUUGUUAUUCAUACCAAGCUUUGAGUCUCACAUUUAUUAAACUUUGUAGUAAUUAGCUAAUAUUUACAUUAUGACAAAAGAUCACAUUCAUCGUUUUAUAAUUUUAUUAGGAAUCUAAAACCUGCAGUUACUCCUGGCCAGGACACAUUUGAUAAACUAGUUACUUCUGAAAGUAGGUUCUUGUAAAAAAAAAAAAAAACAACACGGAUCUUGUUGACUGCAGACUUGCAAAAAAAUAAAAAUAAAAAAGUAGUAUAGUUGUAACGUUGAAUUAACUACUGUAUGCAGGAGGCAAUGAGUAAGCAUCACUGACUCGUCAAUGUUUUUCUUUACCUUGUUUUGAAGACUGUUAGAGAAGAAGAAAGAAAACCCCGCCCCAAAAGCACUGCCCACCUCUGGAGCCUCCAUCAGCCCUGAAGAAGAAAGGGAACACCAACCUAGUGAUGCAUUUAGCAGCCACGACUGGAGUGCACGACUGUUUCCCUUGGGGAGAUGUGGUGAAAAAGUGACUACACAUAGCUCAGCUAUCACAUGUUUGCAAGGGUGUGGGGGUCCAGUGGGGAGGGGGUCAAAGGGUUUAAGACCACCAUGUGUUUCAGCAGCAAGAAGAGGUUGCAGAGCAGUAUGUGAGUCAUAGAGGUAAUUAACUUGGUAAACAUUUUACAACAUUUGCCACACAUGUUGCUUCAUCUUUAUAUAACUGAACACAUAAACAUGUUAAAUCCUGCCUGGACCAGCUGUUGAAUCCCACCCUUAACUGCCACCACUGUUUUCAGUUUCUUUUUUCGCUGAUUGCUUUGCAUACCAUUUGCAUUCUCAAUUUCAGUGGUUGGAGUACCAGUUUUAUAUGAUUUUUUCCCCCUACCUGGUACUAACUUCUGCACUGUACACUGCAAGUUAUGUUUACGGCCUCUGUCAGAGGGAAGACACAGGUAGGACCUCUUAUUAAAUUGUUGCAGCUGCUGUUAUGUACUGAGCACCGUGGUCUCCAUGUAAACACUGACCGACUUUAAGUGAAAGACAAUGAAAAAAGUCACAGGACGGUGAUAAGAAGGGGAAAAGACGGGGUUCAUUUGAAGACAUUCAAGGAUGGAUUUCCAGAUGAAACAGAAGGAUGACAUCAUGGUAAAGUCAGCUCGUAGGAACAUGGAGAGGCCUGCCAUCCCCCCACCUGCCCAGCACCCAGCCACAGACAGUGCAUUUACAUGCACUGUUAAGUGGGACUCCAUCCUCGGCUCCACCCAGCUGCUUCAACGUUAAACAAUCCCCAUCCCACUAAACCAGCACAGGAAGAUUUCAAGACCUUUCAAGACCUUCACUCAUCUCAUGUACAUUUAAUGUGUGUGGUACCUUUACAGUUACAGUCAGACACAAGCAAUCACAGGUUUAUUUCGUACUUAUUCCAAGCUGUGUUACUUAUUCUAUUUUUUUUGUCUUAUUCUCUAGUAAAACUAUAUUAUAAAACUAGUGGUUAGAAAGGGAUGCUUUGCAGGUGCAGUUGCAGUGUAACCUAUUUAGUUUUAAACAAAUAUGACCGCUGUACUAGGGCAACUUUCCACUUCACUGAUGGGUGUAUUACAUUUGUUAAUUUGCCUAGCUGUACUUCCCCAGUCAAGUACCAGAUAUGGUUUUCUGAACAUUACCUCAAAUUAAGGGGACAUCCUGUUAAGAAACACGAAUGCUCUGCUGCUCAUUUCAUCAGCUGUAAGUAAGAGCAAUGAUUUAAUGUCUCUUUGCAUUUUUGGCAUCUUAAUUUAUCUUUUUAAGAACUCAAGCAAGUUGCGUGACCUUCCCGUAGCUUUUAAAUUAUUUUCCGGCUGACUUCUGGAAAGAGAGACGUUCUUUCUUUUAUUUCAUGAUUAAAUCUUGUUUUCUGUCUGGUUCAACUGGAAUACAUUCAACUUGGUUUUUAACUGAUACUGUCACUUGUUGCCAAGUUAUGAGUCAAAAAGAUCACAGUAAAAGACCUUAGCAGAGAUAGUGGAGUGCAGUGUGGAACAGAUUCAAUUUUUACAUUAAAAACAACAACCCUCAUCAAUUUUCUGCAGCACCAGGGUUCUCAAAAGUUAUAACACUGUGUCUCAUCUCCAAAACAUAUUUGUCUCCCCAAGUAUUAACAAAAAAACCGGCGGCACAGCUGUACCUUGAUCAGAUAAGCACAGUAUAUGAAGAAGACAAGGGAUUCCUAAUUAGAUCAUUAGGUAUUUAUUAGCCAAAGCCACCCAGUACAAUGAUGUAGCACAACCUGAACUCAAAUUUAUUUCUAAAAAUCACACAUUUACAUAGACACGCCCACAAACGCAAAGUCGGAAGGAGUAAUAACAGCUGUAUUUAACACCUAAGUAACUAAACUAAAUGUUAUGACUGGAGUACGAUUCUAUUGCAUACCACUAUAAGAUGCCUUUGUACCACCAGUGGUACAUCUACCAUACUUUGAGAACCAAUCGUCUGGAUGUCAUUUUUAAUGAGCCCAAGACAUUCAGUCCCUUUUCUCUGAUUUCAUGCUUAACUACAGAGCAAAUUAAUCAUUUUUUAAUAAUUCAAGUCCCCAAAGAGACUCAGGGGCCGGGCAGUUAUCACCAGUGUUAUGGCCAAACUGGUCCCACCAACAUUUAAUUACCCCAUCAGGGUCGAAUGAAGCAAAAUGGCAGUUUGUUUUUUUUUUGUCUAA